AAACACAAUUCGCAUCUGCCCUAGUCUCUAAACACAACGCAGCUCUGCCUCCCUCUAUCCAUCUCUCAAAAUUUGUAUUUUCUCAAAGCAAAGGUUGCGAUAUUUGUUGGUUUGUGAAUAGCAGGUCUACCCUAGUUUUCAACCUCGCUCGUUUGCGAAUCCCAGGUUCAAUAUGAAACCAUCAAAAAUUGAAAAUGAGGUGGGAUCAACUAUGAAGAUUGCUGUCAAAUAUGCAUUCGCCACACCAGGUGUUAUAAGAAAGGGACAAGGACGAGGAUGAUGUCUUAGAUCUUUGGUUGAGAAAGAGAAUAUGCCAACUAAGAGUUUAUUUCCUAAAUCUAGUGAUCUAGUUAAGCAAUACAUCCAAACAAUUGAAACAAGUAAAAAUUUUUAAAUCUAAUCUUUUAAAUUUGCAUAACUGAAUUUAAAUGCUUAAGUGUUAGUAAUCUAAUUUCUUUUCGCCAAGUGCUAUAGGGAAGGGACGAGGACAAGGGCUUAAAAACUCUUCCAUGUCUGCUAGUCAAGGAACGAUAUAUAAAAACUGUAUCGUUCUUGAGAAAGAGUAUAUGAAAAUUUCAUUGCCUCCAUCUGCUGAUCAAGUUAAGCAAUACACCUAAAAGGUUCUAUAAGGAAGGGACGGGAGCAAACGCCUAGAUCUUUGUGCUCCUCUUUAGGGAUUUCUGAAAAUGAGGUGGGAUCUUUCCCUAAGAAUGCUCGUUUUGCUAAUCAACGUAUGCAAACUCCUUCUAAAAGCACAAGAUCAAAUUUUACCAUGUCUUCUAAUCAAGAAAUGCGAAUAAUGGAUAGAAACUCUAUGGUUCUUAAGAAAGAGCAUGCAGUUGGAACUUCAACUGAUCAAGCUAUACAACACUCCCAAACAGUUAAAACAUGUAUGACAUUUUGAAUCCAUGUGUUAUUAAUUUGUAGAACUAAAUUUUGUUGC
Long non-coding RNA from Nicotiana tabacum (common tobacco), 943 nucleotides. RefSeq lists it as uncharacterized. The record is from RefSeq and is a predicted model, not a curated record. NCBI's taxonomy places the organism in Eukaryota, Viridiplantae, Streptophyta, Magnoliopsida, Solanales, Solanaceae.